GCCCGAGUGGUGAAAUUGGUAGACGCAGUGGACUCAAAAUCCGCCGAUAGUGAUAUCGUACCGGUUCGACUCCGGUCUCGGGCA
RNAcentral lists this transfer RNA (84 nucleotides) under Breznakia blatticola. Its description in RNAcentral is "tRNA-Leu". It matches the Rfam family "tRNA". From Rfam's summary of the family: Transfer RNA (tRNA) molecules are approximately 80 nucleotides in length. Their secondary structure includes four short double-helical elements and three loops (D, anti-codon, and T loops). Lineage: Bacteria; Bacillati; Bacillota; Erysipelotrichia; Erysipelotrichales; Erysipelotrichaceae. RNAcentral also lists the same sequence under 1 other name. The record is from RNAcentral.